UACGGGGGGAGCAAGCGUUGUUCGGAUUUACUGGGCGUAAAGGGCGGGUAGGCGGCCACUGCAAGUCGGUUGUGAAAUCUCCGGGCUUAACCCGGAAAGGGCAAUCGAUACUGCAGGGCUAGAGUGCAGAAGGGGCAACUGGAAUUCUCGGUGUAGCGGUGAAAUGCGUAGAUAUCGUAAGGAAGACCAGUGGCGAAGGCGGGUCUCUGGACAGUUCCUGACGCUGAGGCACGAAGGUCAGGGGAGCAAACGGG
This 254-nucleotide ribosomal RNA is filed under the name uncultured bacterium. RNAcentral's name for it is "partial 16S ribosomal RNA". It matches the Rfam family "Bacterial small subunit ribosomal RNA", at positions 524 to 776 of the family's 1533-position model. The record is from RNAcentral.